AUCAGGGUUGAAUUUAAUAUUGUCUUCGUUUACGUUUAAGUUUGUUUUUGUGUGAUUCAAAAGGCCUUGAUU
This 72-nucleotide transfer RNA is filed under the name Falconius longicornis. Its description in RNAcentral is "tRNA-Val". Lineage: Eukaryota; Metazoa; Arthropoda; Insecta; Orthoptera; Tetrigidae. The record is from RNAcentral.